CCUACGGGAGGCAGCAGUGGGGGAUAUUGCUCAAUGGAGGAAACUCUGAUGCAGCGACGCCGCGUGAGGGAAGACGGUUUUCGGAUUGUAAACCUCUGUUUUUGGGGAAGAAAAUGACGGUACCUAAAGAGUAAGCUCCGGCUAACUCCGUGCCAGCAGCCGCGGUAAUACGUGGGGAGCGAGCGUUGUCCGGAAUUACUGGGUGUAAGGGGAGCGUAGGCGGGUGAGAAAGUUGAAUGUAAAAUCUACGGCCUUACCAGAGAGCUGCAUUUAAAACUUUUUGUCUUGAGUGAAGUAGAGGCAGGUGGAAUUCUUGGUGUAGCGGUGAAAUGCGUAGAGAUCAGGAGGAACACCAGUUGCGAAGGCGGCCUGCUAGGCUUUAACUGACGCUGAGGCUCGAAAGCGUGGGGAGCAAACAGGAUUAGAUACCCGUGUAGUC
Molecule: ribosomal RNA, 439 nt
Filed under: uncultured bacterium
Lineage: Bacteria
Description: partial 16S ribosomal RNA
Rfam family: Bacterial small subunit ribosomal RNA
Source: RNAcentral